Molecule: ribosomal RNA, 300 nt
Filed under: uncultured bacterium
Lineage: Bacteria
Description: bacterial SSU rRNA
Rfam family: Bacterial small subunit ribosomal RNA
Source: RNAcentral
UCCUACGGGGGGCAGCAGUGGGGAAUAUUGCACAGUGGGGGAAACCCUGAUGCAGCGACGCCGCGUGAGCGAAGAAGUAUUUCGGUAUGUAAAGCUCUAUCAGCAGGGAAGAAAAAUGACGGUACCUGAGUAAGAAGCACCGGCUAAAUACGUGCCAGCAGCCGCGGUAAUACGUAUGGUGCAAGCGUUAUCCGGAUUUACUGGGUGUAAAGGGAGCGCAGGCGGUGCGGCAAGUCUGAUGUGAAAAUCCGGGGUCCCACCCCGGAACUGCAUUGGAAACUGUUUAUCUAGAGUGUCGGA